RNAcentral lists this ribosomal RNA (477 nucleotides) under uncultured anaerobic ammonium-oxidizing bacterium. RNAcentral's name for it is "bacterial SSU rRNA". It matches the Rfam family "Bacterial small subunit ribosomal RNA", at positions 365 to 832 of the family's 1533-position model. The record is from RNAcentral.
UUCGCAAUGCCCGAAAGGGUGACGAAGCGACGCCGCGUGCGGGAAGAAGGCCUUCGGGUUGUAAACCGCUGUCGGGAGUUAAGAAGUGCAAGGGUGUUAAUAGCAUCUUUGCUUGACUAAAGCUCCAGAGGAGGCCACGGCUAACUCUGUGCCAGCAGCCGCGGUAAUACAGAGGCGGCAAGCGUUGUUCGGAAUUAUUGGGCGUAAAGAGCACGUAGGUGGUUUUGUAAGUCAGAUGUGAAAGCCUUCUGUUCAAAGGAAGAACGGCAUCUGAAACUACAGAUCUUGAGUGUAGGAGGGGAGAGUGGAACUUCUGGUGGAGCGGUGAAAUGCGUAGAUAUCAGAAGGAACGUCGGCGGCGAAAGCGACUCUCUGGCCUAUUACUGACACUGAGUGUGCGAAAGUUAGGGGAGCAAACGGGAUUAGAUACCCCGGUAGUCCUAACUGUAAACGAUGGGCACUAAGUAGAGGGGUUUU